Molecule: ribosomal RNA, 409 nt
Filed under: uncultured bacterium
Lineage: Bacteria
Description: bacterial SSU rRNA
Rfam family: Bacterial small subunit ribosomal RNA
Source: RNAcentral
GGGGAAUCUUGCGCAAUGGGCGAAAGCCUGACGCAGCAACGCCGCGUGGGGGAUGAAGGCCUUCGGGUUGUAAACCUCUUUCACCAUCGACGAAGCCCUUCGGGGUGACGGUAGGUGGGGAAGAAGCACCGGCUAACUACGUGCCAGCAGCCGCGGUAAUACGUAGGGUGCGAGCGUUGUCCGGAUUUAUUGGGCGUAAAGAGCUCGUAGGCGGUUUGUCGCGUCGGCCGUGAAAACCUACAGCUUAACUGUGGGCUUGCGGUCGAUACGGGCAGACUUGAGUUCGGCAGGGGAGACUGGAAUUCCUGGUGUAGCGGUGAAAUGCGCAGAUAUCAGGAGGAACACCGGUGGCGAAGGCGGGUCUCUGGGCCGAUACUGACGCUGAGGAGCGAAAGCGUGGGGAGCGAAC